Molecule: long non-coding RNA, 811 nt
Filed under: Cricetulus griseus (Chinese hamster)
Lineage: Eukaryota; Metazoa; Chordata; Mammalia; Rodentia; Cricetidae
Description: lncRNA (ENSCGRG00015041264.1)
Source: RNAcentral
UACGUUUGGAAGCACAGACGUCAUGAAAGAUAAAGAUUGGUUAGGUCUUGGCAGUUAGCAAAGAUGGGCCAGGUGCUGGUGGCACGCACUGCCUGCUGACGUCCUCCCACAGAGGAUGACAGGCGAAUUGCUCACCCUCGGUCCUGGACUUCGUCAUCUGGAGGCGGCUCUUCCUGGUGGUUGGUGGGAGCCUGGACUCUGCCUUCUGAAUUCAGCUCCCUGUAACCCAUCUGCUUCGCCACUAGAGGCGGCAAAUGCAAGGCUCUGGGCUACGCUCUACAAACAGUCCAGGCAGAGGGUGGGAAGACUGCAGGGUGCGGUGGCCAGAAUGUGGCGUCACGCUUCCUGGGGACAAGCGCACUUCCUCAGACUCAUGCAAUUACAGUCAUGAUGAACACAGCUGGAAACAAGCGAAAGCGAUGCUGCAAUACUCCCUGUGAAGACAAUGCAAACGUCCCAUGGGCGUUGGACCGCAAUCGUCACGCGGCGGUGUGUUUUCUUCCACUUAAGAGUGACCGGAGAUUCUCUUUGUGACUUCGUACUGUGGAAGACCUGUAAGAAUUCAAAUCGUGAGACACCACUCCCCACUGUAGGACUGCCCGGAAGAAGACAUUUGAGGAAGAAUAAGAGGCUCACAGAGGGUGCUUGGACAGAAGCAUCAGACUCCUUUGUCAAUCAGCUUUUCCAGAUGGAGACAAGUUCUAUGUGCAACUCUUUCAGAGUUCACUCACUUCUACUUAGAGCAAUGAAAAGGCGAAUGCAAUUAUCUUUUCAACUCCUGAAGGAAGUCCUGCUUGUUCUAGCUUGGGAC